GAUCACCCUUGCUGCAGCCCCAGGAGUCCCCCAAGACCCAGGCUAUAUUGAACAUUAAACUUCUGAUGUCUUAUUAUCACGACAAGACAAGAAUUGAAAAUAGUGCAGAACUGCAGGGGCUCCAGCCAACAUCAGGUUCCCAUUACACUAGAUGCUGUGCAAUCACAUAAUGAGAGAGAAAUCCAGCUUCUAAGAGCCUAUAAUUUCAGCAGACAGAGGGAAAUAGUACUAUCCUAAUUUUACAGAUGUGGAACUGAGGCACAGAGAAAGCAGAUGACUCCCCCAAGACCACAAAAGAAGUCUGUGGCAGAGCAAAGUACUUUACCCAGAGCUGUAGAGUCCCAGUCAAGAGUCCUAACCACAGUUUCUCCUAUCUUUAUUCCCUUUUUGAAACCUGUACACGCACUCAGACCUUUGUGAUUUAAAAGGCUAUUUUAAGUUAGUGAUUUAAAUUGUUAUCUCAUUUAAUAUGCUUCAAGAUACUGAUAAAAAGAGUUGACAUUCUCUCAUGAAUGUAUAAAAAGAUUUACUAAAAAGAUAUGUAUUUCUGUAGUUUGUUUAUUUUUU
Molecule: long non-coding RNA, 567 nt
Organism: Gavialis gangeticus (Gharial)
Lineage: Eukaryota; Metazoa; Chordata; Crocodylia; Gavialidae
Exons: 3
Source: RefSeq, a predicted model, not a curated record